RNAcentral lists this ribosomal RNA (1156 nucleotides) under uncultured marine bacterium. RNAcentral describes it as "bacterial SSU rRNA". It matches the Rfam family "Bacterial small subunit ribosomal RNA", at positions 332 to 1504 of the family's 1533-position model. The record is from RNAcentral.
CAUUCUCUUAUACGAGGAGAGGCCACGCACUGUAGAGAAUUUUGGAACAUUGGCGCAAGCCUGAUCCAGCCAUUCCCGCGUUUAGAGUCUAAGGUGGUAAGCACUUAGCGGAAGAAAAGUAUGGGUAAAUACUAAUAACGUGACAUAACAUCAGAAUAAGACGCUAUCGUGCAGCAGCGCGGUAAUACGAAGGUCAGCGUAUCGAUACUGGGCGUAAAGCGCGCGUAGGUGGUUUAUUAAGUUGGAUGUGAAAUCCCCGGGCUCAACCUGGGAACUGCAUCCAAAACUGAUUCACUAGAGUACGAUAGAGGGAGGUAGAAUUCACAGUGUAGCGGUGGAAUGCGUAGAUAUUGUGAAGAAUACCAAUGGCGAAGGCAGCCUCCUGGAUCUGUACUGACACUGAGGUGCGAAAGCGUGGGUAGCGAACAGGAUUAGAUACCCUGGUAGUCCACGCCGUAAACGAUGUCAACUAGCUGUUGGGGAACUAUGUUCUUCAGUGGCGCAGCUAACGUAGUAAGUUGACCGCCUGGGGAGUACGGCCGCAAGGCUAAAACUCAAAUGAAUUGACGGGGACCCGCACAAGCGGUGGAGCAUGUGGUUUAAUUCGAUGCAACGCGAAAAACCUUACCUAUACUUGACAUACCUGGAAUGCUUUGUAAUGAAGUAGUGCCUUCGGGAGCCAGGAUACAGGUGCUGCAUGGCUGUCGUCAGCUCGUGUCGUGAGAUGUUCCGUUAAGUCGGAUAACGAGCGCAACCCUUACCCUUAUUUGCCAGCGAUUCGGUCGGGAACUAUAAGGGGACUGCCGGUGAUAAACCGGAGGAAGGUGAGGACGACGUCAAGUCAUCAUGGCCCUUACGUAUAGGGCUACACACGUGCUACAAUGGGGAAUACAGACGGACGCUAAGCCGCGAGGUGGUGCUAAUCCUAGAAAAUUCUUCGUAGUCCGGAUUGGAGUCUGCAACUCGACUCCAUGAAGUCGGAAUCGCUAGUAAUCGCGAAUCAGCAUGUCGCGGUGAAUACGUUCUCGGGUCUUGUACACACCGCCCGUCAUACCAUGGAAGUGGAUUGCACCAGAAGUAAAUAGUCUAACCUUCGGGAGGGCGUUUACCACGGUGUGCUUCAUGACUGGGGUAAAGUCGUAACAAGGUAACCGUA